UCGAGAAUCUUCGGCAAUGAGCGCAAGCUUGACCGAGCGACGCCGCGUGCGGGAUGAAGGCCUUCGGGUUGUAAACCGCGAAAGUAGGGAGGAAAUCGCUGGGGGUUCUCCCCCAGUGUUGACCUAUCUUCAGUAAGGACGGGCUAAGUUCGUGCCAGCAGCCGCGGUAAUACGAACCGUCCAAACGUUAUUCGGAUUUAUUGGGCUUAAAGGGUAUGUAGGCGGCCCUUCAAGUCGGGUGUGAAAGCCCUCGGCUCAACCGAGGAACUGCGCCCGAUACUGCAGGGCUUGAGGGAGACAGAGGUAAGCGGAACUGAUGGUGGAGCGGUGAAAUGCGUUGAUAUCAUCAGGAACACCAGUGGCGAAAGCGGCUUACUGGGUCUCUUCUGACGCUGAGAUACGAAAGCUAGGGGAGCGAACGGGAUUAGAUACCCCGGUAGUCCUAGCUGUAAACGAUGAGCACUUGAUCGUGGGGCCCCCAUAGCCUCUCGGUCGCA
RNAcentral lists this ribosomal RNA (497 nucleotides) under uncultured Planctomycetota bacterium. Its description in RNAcentral is "bacterial SSU rRNA". It matches the Rfam family "Bacterial small subunit ribosomal RNA", at positions 355 to 850 of the family's 1533-position model. Lineage: Bacteria; Pseudomonadati; Planctomycetota. The record is from RNAcentral.